RNAcentral lists this ribosomal RNA (320 nucleotides) under uncultured Sandonidae. RNAcentral's name for it is "bacterial SSU rRNA". The stretch from base 60 to 320 matches the Rfam family "Eukaryotic small subunit ribosomal RNA", at positions 693 to 955 of the family's 1831-position model. Lineage: Eukaryota; Cercozoa; Glissomonadida; Viridiraptoridae. The record is from RNAcentral.
GAUUUCUGGUACGGUGCGCCUGACCCACUGUCGAAAGGCGUGUGAAGUGUCGGAGUGCGUCUGCCAUCCUUCUAGUUAGUCUAUCUCACUUCAGUGGGAGGUAGGUGACCUAGAUCUUUUACUUUGAAAAAAUUAGAGUGUUUAAAGCAGGCUUGCGCCUUGAAUACAUUAGCAUGGAAUAAUAAUUUAGGACUUUGUUCCUAUUUUGUUGGUUUUAAGGGAUAAAGUAAUGAUUGAUAGGGAUAGUUGGGGGUGCUAGUAUUCAUCGGCCAGAGGUGAAAUUCUUGGAUUCGAUGAAGACUAACUUAUGCGAAAGCAUU